UUUAAAUUGGACUCACCAUGACCUUGGAAGAAUUGGACAUAAUAUACCACUGUGACUCUCAGCGUCUUCGAGUUUGCGAGACUGAUUGCGUGUCUAGAUUUGAAAAUAAUUGAUAAUCAAAGAGAAGACUAAGGGUAAAAAAGGUGUUUGUGUGUCUAGAUAUGCAAAUCUGAAAUCCUUCCAUUAAAAUCCCAAAUCUCUUCGAUUACUCAAGAUCGAUAGCUAACUGAGAGUGACAAACAGGGAGUUUGCGUGACUGGGGCCCAAAUCUGACAGGGAGGCAGGGAGGACUGGAGGAGACUAGAGAUGACUUAGGAAGAAGGACUGUCAAAGAUGAAAACUAGAAGUCUCGAGAGUCUCGAUCAGGGAGUCCUUGAUGAAGAUGAAGAUGAAGAUGAAGAUGAAGACGAAGACAAAGACGCAUAGGUCAGGCCAUCAGGGAGUCCUCGACGAAGACGAAUGGUGAGACUCUCAAAGAUGGAGACUGUCUACUAUGAAGACUCUCCAUGAUGAAUGUGGAGUUGUCAAUGACGAUGAAAAUUGAAAACAGAGGCUUUGAGUCUUUAACCAACGAGCA
RNAcentral lists this long non-coding RNA (577 nucleotides) under Manihot esculenta (cassava). Its description in RNAcentral is "long non-coding RNA (MESC_LNC004527)". Lineage: Eukaryota; Viridiplantae; Streptophyta; Magnoliopsida; Malpighiales; Euphorbiaceae. The record is from RNAcentral.